UACGGAGGGUGCAAGCGUUAUCCGGAUUCACUGGGUUUAAAGGGUGCGUAGGUGGGCAGGUAAGUCAGUGGUGAAAUCUCUAAGCUUAACUUAGAAACUGCCGUUGAUACUAUCUGUCUUGAAUGUAGUGGAGGUGAGCGGAAUAUGUCAUGUAGCGGUGAAAUGCUUAGAUAUGACAUAGAACACCCAUUGCGAAGGCAGCUCGCUACGCUAUGAUUGACGCUGAGGCACGAAAGCGUGGGGAUCAAACAGG
This 253-nucleotide ribosomal RNA is filed under the name uncultured bacterium. RNAcentral describes it as "partial 16S ribosomal RNA". It matches the Rfam family "Bacterial small subunit ribosomal RNA", at positions 524 to 776 of the family's 1533-position model. The record is from RNAcentral.